CGUGCUAAAUGCUAUAUAUUUUAUUAUAUAAAAAAAAAAAAUUACACAACCCAGUUGCUACUUGCUUUAGGCUGGAUUCCGCCCCUCCUUUUUGUUUUCACUGAAGCAAGUUACACCAAAAAUUGCAAACAUGAAAAGUUUUACGAAUAAACAAUCACAUUGAAUUUGAAAUUUCAGCGAAUUAGUAGAUCUAGAUGCUCCGAAUAACAUACAAAUGCAAUGAUAGAAUAUUAACAAGGAAAAUCACUAAAUACAUAAAACUUAAGAAACCAAAUCAAAUAAGAAUAACAUUAAUUGAAAUUCCGUAAGAGUAUCACCCAUCCAUUCCUAAAUGAAAUUCAAAAUUGAAAAACAACAUAGGGCAUCAAACACGGGUCGCUGCCCUGUAGAACAUCUCAGGAUUGCUUGGCCUCUAAUGCCUCGGUUUUGUAAUACUUGGAGCAUUAGAAUCGUGACCACCGUCGCGGCAACCUCAUCUCCCAAUCGCCGAGAACCCAUACCCACCAAAGCUUGACAUCAAGGGUCUAAUUUGCAUUUUCCACUUCAAGGAUAUGGAGAUAGAGGGAGAGAGCUAUCCAAAAAAAAAAAAGGAUGAAAAGAGAUGGAGUCGGCAGAUUUGAGUAGUAGAGUGGAUCUGAUUUGGAGGCAGCAGCGAGACAGAGAGAGGGGUAGAUGCCACAGAAGAACGACUAAGAGGUUCUUUGGGGAAGGGGAUAGAGAACUGAUGAGAAGUUCUUAACAAGUUCUU
This 748-nucleotide long non-coding RNA is filed under the name Prunus dulcis (almond). RNAcentral describes it as "sRNA ncRNA". The record is from RNAcentral. Lineage: Eukaryota; Viridiplantae; Streptophyta; Magnoliopsida; Rosales; Rosaceae.